Molecule: unclassified non-coding RNA, 495 nt
Filed under: Hevea brasiliensis (rubber tree)
Lineage: Eukaryota; Viridiplantae; Streptophyta; Magnoliopsida; Malpighiales; Euphorbiaceae
Source: RNAcentral
GAAAAUGGCAAACCCCUCAUCCGCAAAAUAGACGUGACUUCAUUCGGGUCUCUCCCAUCCACUGGUUUGUCCAGUACUCUGCCCCUUGAAACUGCUUCCUCCAACUCCUCAGACGAUGAAGCGAAAAGCUCUAUGUAGCGAUUCCCUAUUGUCAUCCUGUCCUUCGCCAUUGCAGCUCUUGAAUCAUCUGCACUAGCAAAUUCAACAAAUGCUUCCCCUGUAGGUCUACCCUCAAAAGUAGCUGUUAUAUGGAUUGAUUUUUCUUCAAGUUCAAAAUCUUUAAAGAAAUCAAUAAUAUCUUCCUUGGUAGCUGAGAAUGGCAAUCCCCUCAGCCAUAAUACGCCAGUGUGUUCUGCAGGGUCUUUGCUUUCAUCAAUAGAUCUAGCCCUCGGAACUGAACCACCGCGAGAAUCAUAAACUUCAUUGGCUAUAGCCUUAUAGUAUUCAUCCUUCUUGCUUCUGAAAACCUCAACAUAUCUUCUUCCAAUAUUCUGC